Molecule: ribosomal RNA, 578 nt
Filed under: uncultured bacterium
Lineage: Bacteria
Description: partial 16S ribosomal RNA
Rfam family: Bacterial small subunit ribosomal RNA
Source: RNAcentral
UGGGGAAUUUUGGACAAUGGAGCAGCUCACAGAUGCCGCGUGUGUGAAGAAGGCCUUCGGGUUGUAAAGCACUUUUGUCCGGAAAGAAAUCCUUGGCUCUAAUACAGUCGGGGGAUGACGGUACCGGAAGAAUAAGCACCGGCUAACUACGUGCCAGCAGCCGCGGUAAUACGUAGGGUGCAAGCGUUAAUCGGAAUUACUGGGCGUAAAGCGUGCGCAGGCGGUUUGCUAAGACCGAUGUGAAAUCCCCGGGCUCAACCUGGGAACUGCAUUGGUGACUGGCAGGCUAGAGUAUGGCAGAGGGGGGUAGAAUUCCACGUGUAGCAGUGAAAUGCGUAGAGAUGUGGAGGAAUACCGAUGGCGAAGGCAGCCCCCUGGGCCAAUACUGACGCUCAUGCACGAAAGCGUGGGGAGCAAACAGGAUUAGAUACCCUGGUAGUCCACGCCCUAAACGAUGUCAACUAGUUGUUGGGGAUUCAUUUCCUUAGUAACGUAGCUAACGCGUGAAGUUGACCGCCUGGGGAGUACGGUCGCAAGAUUAAAACUCAAAGGAAUUGACGGGGUCAUAGCUGUUUCCU